UUCCGCAAUGGGCGCAAGCCUGACGGAG
This 28-nucleotide non-coding RNA is filed under the name Thermus thermophilus. RNAcentral also lists the same sequence under 1 other name. The record is from RNAcentral. Lineage: Bacteria; Thermotogati; Deinococcota; Deinococci; Thermales; Thermaceae.